This 439-nucleotide ribosomal RNA is filed under the name uncultured bacterium. Its description in RNAcentral is "partial 16S ribosomal RNA". It matches the Rfam family "Bacterial small subunit ribosomal RNA", at positions 338 to 795 of the family's 1533-position model. The record is from RNAcentral.
CCUACGGGAGGCAGCAGUAGGGAAUAUUGCUCAAUGGGGGAAACCCUGAAGCAGCAACGCCGCGUGGAGGAUGAAGGUUUUCGGAUUGUAAACUCCUUUUGUUAGAGAAGAAAAUGACAGUACCUGACCAAGAAGCCCCGGCUAACUACGUGCCAGCAGCCGCGGUAAUACGUAGGGGGCAAGCGUUAUCCGGAUUUACUGGGUGUAAAGGGAGCGUAGGCGGACUGUUAAGUCAGCGGUAAAAGCCCGGGGCUCAACCCCGGCGAGCCGUUGAAACUGGCUGUCUUGAGAUGUCGAGAGGUAUGCGGAAUGCGCAGUGUAGCGGUGAAAUGCUUAGAUAUUGCGCAGAACUCCGAUUGCGAAGGCAGCAUACCGGCGGCGAUCUGACGCUGAGGCACGAAAGCGUGGGUAUCGAACAGGAUUAGAUACCCCUGUAGUC